UUGCCCAACUCGGGCAAUGCUUUAAACAUGCUGCAAAUUAAGAAAAAUGUCAGUCAUGUGGUUGCAGCCAAGCAUGUCAUCCAAUAUGAGCCUUUCUUUGCUGAUAGUUUCCUGCAUGAAUUUAUCAUAAAAAGAGGAGCAUCAAGGCAAGUUUCAAUGCUAAAUAGGACUGCAUAGAACUUGACAGAAAAAACAGAAUUUCAACCCACCAUCUUUACUACUAACUACAGAUUAGUUCCAAGACUGAACUCAUAAGUAUUCUGUAGAAUUUCAACCUACUUAAACUAACAAGGGUGAUCCCAUUUCGAAAUUGA
This 314-nucleotide long non-coding RNA is filed under the name Lathyrus oleraceus (garden pea). RNAcentral's name for it is "Pisum sativum (pea) long non-coding RNA (PSAT_LNC023334)". Lineage: Eukaryota; Viridiplantae; Streptophyta; Magnoliopsida; Fabales; Fabaceae. The record is from RNAcentral.